CGGGGGGGGGGCAAGCGUUAUUCGGGAAUUACUGGGCGUAAAGGGCUCGUAGGCGGCCAACUAAGUCACACGUGAAAUCCCUCGGGCUCAACCGGGGGUACUGCGUGUGAUACUGGAUGGCUCGAGUUCGGGAGAGGGAUGCGGAAUUCCAGGUGUAGCGGUGAAAUGCGUAGAUAUCUGGAGGAACACCGGUGGCGAAGGCGGCAUCCUGGACCGAGACUGACGCUGAGUGAGCGAAAGCCAGGGGAGCAAACGGGAUUAGAUACCCCGGUAGUCCUGGCCCUAAACGAUGAAUGCUUGGUGUGGCGGGUAUCGAUCCCUGCCGUGCCGAAGCUAACGCAUUAAGCAUUCCGCCUGGGGAGUACGGUCGCAAGGCUG
RNAcentral lists this ribosomal RNA (378 nucleotides) under uncultured organism. RNAcentral's name for it is "partial 16S ribosomal RNA". It matches the Rfam family "Bacterial small subunit ribosomal RNA", at positions 524 to 896 of the family's 1533-position model. The record is from RNAcentral.